RNAcentral lists this ribosomal RNA (1299 nucleotides) under Bacillus sp. RARE-8. Its description in RNAcentral is "bacterial SSU rRNA". It matches the Rfam family "Bacterial small subunit ribosomal RNA", at positions 105 to 1397 of the family's 1533-position model. Lineage: Bacteria; Bacillati; Bacillota; Bacilli; Caryophanales; Bacillaceae. The record is from RNAcentral.
ACUGAGUAACACGUGGGCCUGCCCAUAAGACUGGGAUAACUCCGGGAAACCGGGGCUAAUACCGGAUAACAUUUUGAGUCAACCGCAUGGUUCGAAAUAGGCGGCUUCGGCUGUCACUUAUGGAUGGACCCGCGUCGCAUUAGCUAGUUGGUGAGGUAACGGCUCACCAAGGCAACGAUGCGUAGCCGACCUGAGAGGGUGAUCGGCCACACUGGGACUGAGACACGGCCCAGACUCCUACGGGAGGCAGCAGUAGGGAAUCUUCCGCAAUGGACGAAAGUCACGGAGCAACGCCGCGUGAGUGAUGACUUUCGGGUCGUAAAACUCUGUUGUUAGGGAAGAACAAGUGCUAGUUGAAUAAGCCUUGACGGUACCUAACCAGAAAGCCACGGCUAACUACGUGCCAGCAGCCGCGGUAUUGAUCCAGUAUACGUAGGUGGCAAGCGUUAUCCGGAAUUAUUGGGCGUAAAGCGCGCGCAGGUGGUUUCUUAAGUCUGAUGUGAAAGCCCACGGCUCAACCGUGGAGGGUCAUUGGAAACUGGGAGACUUGAGUGCAGAAGAGGAAUGGAACAUGUGUAGCGGUGAAAUGCGUAGAGAUAUGGAGGAACACCAGUGGCGAAGGCGACUUUCUGGUCUGUAACUGACACUGAGGCGCGAAAGCGUGGGGAGCAAACAGGAUUAGAUACCCUGGUAGUCCACGCCGUAAACGAGGAUCUGAUGAGUGCUAAGUGUUAGAGGGUUUCCGCCCUUAGUGCUGAAGUUAACGCAUUAAGCACUCCGUGGGGAGUACGGCCGCAAGGCUGAAACUCAAAGGAAUUGACGGGGGCCCGCACAAGCGGUGGAGCAUUAAUUCGAAGCAACGCGAAGAACCUUACCAGGUCUUGACAUCCUCUGAAAACCCUAGAGAUAGGGCUUCUCGGAUCACUUCGGGAGCAGAGUGACAGGUGGUGCAUGGUUGUCGUCAGCUCGUGUCGUGAGAUGUUGGGUUAAGUCCCGCAACGAGCGCAACCCUUGAUCUUAGUUGCCAUCAUUAAGUUGGGCACUCUAAGGUGACCGGACAAACCGGAGGAAGGUGGGGAUGACGUCAAAUCAUCAUGCCCCUUAUGACCUGGGCUACACACGUGCUAGGAUACCAAUGGACGGUACAAAGAGCUGCAAGACCGGUGGAGCUAAUCUCAUAAAACCGUUCUCAGUUCGGAACAGAUUUGUAGGCUGCAACUCGCCUACAUGAAGCUGGAAUCGCUAGUAAUCGCGGAUCAGCAUGCCGCGGUGACGUUCCCGGGCGUACACACCGCCCGU